Molecule: long non-coding RNA, 779 nt
Filed under: Catharus ustulatus (Swainson's thrush)
Lineage: Eukaryota; Metazoa; Chordata; Aves; Passeriformes; Turdidae
Description: lncRNA (ENSCUSG00005000310.1)
Source: RNAcentral
GAUCAUCUGGAAAUGCUCUAAGGUUUUAGUUGUGCCUCCCAAAAAAACACUAACCAGGCUUUAUUUUCAAAUGUAUCUUCUGAUUAUGAAAAAAAACCAAUGCCACUAGCAGAAAAGCAAUUCAGUUAGAUGGUAACUAUUUGAAAAAAAGUUUUGCUCCAAGUUCUCCUGGACAAAAUCUGAUCAUACAAACAGGAAUCUCACACCUGGCACAUCUUUCCCGCACAGAGCAUUCAAAGUCUUUACAGCGGAUACAGCUACUGGAUUUGUCCAAGCUGAAAAUGAAUCACAGUCCUUCUGUGAACCAGACCACCAAGCAAUCUGCUGCCCUUCACCUGCAAGGGGGAGGAAGCCUGGAACCUUAAAAAGUUCCCUCAGGAAGAGGACCAAGGCUAUCAAUUAGCAGAGUAUGCAAGCAUAAGGACUACUGAAGAAUUCCCAUCAUCUCUAGAUGGUUCUCUACUGGCUUCCUAUCAAGGCUCAUCAGGUUUGGAUGUGACCCUGUCUCUCAUGUAUUCAUCACAGCACCAUGGUGGACAGAAGAGCCAGUGUGGUCAGGCAACUGUUUGCACCACUGAGCCUUUAGAACCCCUUUAUGUAGAACUGAAGGACUGAAGAGACUAUGGAAUGGUGAGAAAUAAACCCUAGCAUCUCAAACUGCCUCAGUUUGCAAUCUGAAAGGAAGAACCUCUGUGGGUAUGGCACUGCAUGUUGUUUGACAGCAGUAACUAGCAUGGCUUUCCUCCCCUGGGGCUGUUCCUGAGCACACUGCAGGCCUG